Molecule: long non-coding RNA, 1216 nt
Organism: Microtus oregoni (creeping vole)
Lineage: Eukaryota; Metazoa; Chordata; Mammalia; Rodentia; Cricetidae
Exons: 3
Source: RefSeq, a predicted model, not a curated record
AGAGAGAGAGAGAGAGAGAGAAUUUACUCUAAGGCCUGAUGGUAGCUGCUAAACUGAAGGAUGAGACAUGGUUGAAUUCAUGAUGUUGUUCACUUUACCUAGUCCUGCUCAGCUCAGACUGUAGAUGGAGGGGUGACCUCAGUGCUCAGCCAGGCAGCCCCAGGGCAUGAUGGGGGAGUGACCUCAGUGCUCAGCCAGGCAGCCCCAGGGCAUGUGUUUCUCAUCCUGGUCCACCAGCAGACUUUAGCCAUUGUUCACUUGCCAUGGUCACAGACCACGAGAGCAGAACUCAAAGGCGGUGACUCGGUAGGUUAGCCACAGCAAGUAAAGGACAUGCAGUAGCAUUUUCAGAAUGAAGCCUGACCUCACCACACCUCUACCCAGAAACAGGGUCCUGUGCCUCCUGUGUCUGUGGGUGACGCUGCUCCCUAUAUUCUGACCGUCUCCUGAAACUGAACUUGCAAGGAAAUGUUUAAAAGUAGAAAUGGCCAGAUUUCUUCCCCAGGGUAGGAGAUGACAAAAAAGUUCUCUGAGUGGAGCAGGGAAGACGGGGAUUUGUGGUGUCAGAGAUUCUCCACACUGGACUUGACACAUGGGAUUCUAAAAAGAACCAAAAGACAGUUAAUAUGAGUUCAUCUCACAGAGCGUAGGAUGCUGGAUGGAACCCAGGCCUCCCACGUGUUAGGCAAAUGCUCUGCCACUGAUCCACACCUGAGCAGUUGAGCUAUUCUGGACACUUCGGGCUCCAGCCCAAGCAGAGUCGACUCUGCUUUGAAGCUGCUACCAGCUGCCUUGGCUUGUUCUCUGGUGCUGUUUUGUCUACCACAGCAGGAGGAGAGGGAAGGUGCACGGUAGAAACACCGCGAUUGUUUUCCCAUCUCAGAAUGUGUGGAUGAAAUCCGUGAGUCAUGCAUGACAGGAUCCCUUUCGGGUUCCAGGCAAGGGAACUGUUCCUUUGGUUCUGCUGGCUGCUGCUUUGGGGGAGUCAUCUAACCCUUUCCCAGCAGGAGAGCAGACAGAAGCUAACCCCAGACACGGGGCUCUGAUGUGUCUUCUCCAAGGCUGUCUGUCCUAAAAAGGUGGCUUUCUGUCCCAACCUAAGAGCAGAAGGUGCCUAGUCACAGAAAGGCUCACUCAAGAACUCUUCUACAGCAAGGAUUUUCAGGGCCCAAGCUGUCAGGUGUGAGCAUCAAGGAUACUGAUGAAUUGCCUUGAC